Molecule: small nucleolar RNA, 104 nt
Organism: Humulus lupulus (European hop)
Lineage: Eukaryota; Viridiplantae; Streptophyta; Magnoliopsida; Rosales; Cannabaceae
Product: small nucleolar RNA Z107/R87
Exons: 1
Source: RefSeq, a predicted model, not a curated record
GAUCGUGGUGAUGACUCCAUAAUAUUCAAGCUCAACAGACCGGAAUGCAGGCUUCUCUUUUCAGAGGACUUUGCGUGUCGAUAAUCCCGCUGAACUGAGCGAUC